CGUGCUCACGCGCCGAAUCCUGCAAGGAACCGGGGAACCAUCCCUUGGGGUGAAUCGCGCGGAUGCCACCGUGGAACCACGGUCGGUAUACGCGCGUAGGAGACCUUCCUGCUCCGAACCCGUCAGCUAACCCGGUAGGCGAUAAGGAAGGAAAGG
Molecule: small RNA, 156 nt
Filed under: Streptomyces lincolnensis
Lineage: Bacteria; Bacillati; Actinomycetota; Actinomycetes; Kitasatosporales; Streptomycetaceae
Description: c-di-AMP sequence
Rfam family: c-di-AMP riboswitch aptamer (ydaO/yuaA leader)
About the family: This family represents a conserved RNA structure found upstream of the ydaO and yuaA genes in Bacillus subtilis and related genes in other bacteria.
Source: Rfam by way of RNAcentral